UUGUACUUGAGAUGAAAGUGAAGGCAAUGAAUGGAUAAAAUAUGCUUGCUCUGGUGCCAAUUAGAUAAAAACCAAUUCUUGUAGCUUCUUCUAGCCUUUCGAUGGGCAAGGUAGGCAAGUCACGUGGUUAAAACUGGCAUGUAUGGAAUCAGAAACCAAUCUCGUGAUUGUUGUCCAUAAUAGUUACUUGGUCAGGUGGGAUAUGAUGCCAGUCACCGGCACUUCAAGUCUUCAAUCAUGUAUUUAUUUUUUCUCUUUUGGCAAAAUUUAUUUGCAUUUAUGGAUGAGAGGCUGUAUGAAUUUCUUUUUAAUUGUGUUGUUUUUCCUUAAAUUUCUUUUGGUUGCAGGGGUUCAAGUAGAAACCGUUAUAGCUGUUGGGGUGGAGAUCUCUUAGUGGCCUCCGGGUAUGUUUCUAUUUCUGUUUUUAUGAACUGUAAUAAGAGAAUGGAGGUUCUCAUCCAAAUACUAAUUGCAAGUACUAAUCAAGAAUCCUAUGUUAAUGGAACACUUUCCUCUCAUCCAUACAUAUAUAAACAGUUUCACUGAAAUUAACUAAUGUAAAAAGAAAAAAAAAAUGUUUAAAAUAUGGAAACCAUAAAUUUGACACUAUAAUGUCUUUGAUUAGUAUACGGAGUAUCAUAUAAUUAAGACACAAUAAGGUAUCAUCAGAUAACAUAAUAUAAUUAAGAUACAAUAAGGUAUUAUCAGAUAACAAUAACAUCACACAAUUUGUAAUCGUGGCUCUCUUGCAUCCAAUUGCAAGUCAGCUAGUGGUUUAAUAUGAGGAUGACAAGUUCACAAUUUUUACCUAUUUCUUGACCAAGGGAAGGAUGUUCUAUGAGGUUUUAUCAAAUUAUGAAGUAGGCCUGUUCAUAGAGUAACUCCGCCUGUGUCCUUUUGUUUUGUUGAUGCACAGCCGGUCCCAAGCCCGGAUAAAGGAGGAGGGUUGUAGCGAGUCAAAGAAAUUCUUAUAUUAUUUCAUUAAAUUAGAGGGUAUUAGGAAAUAAUUAGCGAUUUAAUGGAAUUUGAUAAUCCAUUGAUUAAUUCAACUAUUGAAUUGGGAGAAAGGUUGUAAAUUGUAAUGGGUAGCAAAGGUUAAAUUUGGCAGAUGCUACCAUUUGACAUUUGUCGAACAACUCCAAUUGUCCUAACAAUGAGGAGAAUGAUGUUGCCAUCUUUAUUUUUCGGUGUUUGCCAUGCAAGUCGUCUUAUCAUUUUUCGUUUAUUUUUAAAAUUUGUAGUCAAUCUUCGAAGUGUUAUAUAUUCUUACUUCUUUCCUCGUAUUUCCAGCCCCUCCCAAUGGCUAUCCUUAUUAUUAUCUAAAAAUAAAUAGGUUGUUAAUAAUAUUAAUAGGUUGUUUUGAUGUGCUUGGCACUGGAUGUGUUCCUUUGCAAAGAAAGAAAUAAAUAUUAACGGUAAUGGCAUGCAAUAUAAGAUUUUACUGUAAUGAAAUGUAAUAUGAUAUAUAUAACAUUACACUAAACAUACAUGUAAUUAUAAUUUAUUAUAGCCUGAUUCAUAGUCCAGAAGUUAAUAUUUGUUUUUUUUGGUUGUGAAUGUGGAGGAGGGGACAAAACCCAAACGAGGAUUACAAAAGUUGUCUAGGCCAAAAAUCCUAUCAGCAUCUACCAAUUCUAUA
This 1639-nucleotide long non-coding RNA is filed under the name Jatropha curcas. Lineage: Eukaryota; Viridiplantae; Streptophyta; Magnoliopsida; Malpighiales; Euphorbiaceae. The record is from RNAcentral.